This 484-nucleotide ribosomal RNA is filed under the name uncultured bacterium. RNAcentral's name for it is "partial 16S ribosomal RNA". It matches the Rfam family "Bacterial small subunit ribosomal RNA", at positions 28 to 507 of the family's 1533-position model. The record is from RNAcentral.
AUUGAACGCUGGCGGCAUGCUUUACACAUGCAAGUCGAACGGCAGCGCGGGCUUCGGUCUGGCGGCGAGUGGCGAACGGGUGAGUAAUGCAUCGGAACGUGCCCAGUAGUGGGGGAUAGCCCGGCGAAAGCCGGAUUAAUACCGCAUACGACCUGAGGGUGAAAGCGGGGGACCGAAAGGCCUCGCGCUAUUGGAGCGGCCGAUGUCGGAUUAGCUAGUUGGUGGGGUAAAGGCUUACCAAGGCGACGAUCCGUAGCUGGUCUGAGAGGGCGACCAGCCACACUGGGACUGAGACACGGCCCAGACUCCUACGGGAGGCAGCAGUGGGGAAUUUUGGACAAUGGGGGCAACCCUGAUCCAGCCAUGCCGCGUGCGGGAAGAAGGCCUUCGGGUUGUAAACCGCUUUUGUUCGGGAAGAAAUCCUCUGGGCUAAUACCCCGGGGGGAUGACGGUACCGGAAGAAUAAGCACCGGCUAACUACGUG